AUACGGAGGGGGCAAGCGUUGUUCGGAAUUACUGGGCGUAAAGGGCGCGCAGGCGGUUUCGUUAGUCAGGCGUGAAAUCCCCGGGCUCAACCCGGGAACUGCGUUUGAUACUGCGGAACUAGAGAUCGGGAGAGGGUAGUGGAAUUCCCAGUGUAGAGGUGAAAUUCGUAGAUAUUGCGAAGAACACCAGUGGCGAAGGCGGCUACCUGGACCGAUACUGACGCUGAGGCGCUAAAGCGUGGGGAGCAAACAGGAUUAGAAACCCCGGUAGUCC
RNAcentral lists this ribosomal RNA (274 nucleotides) under uncultured bacterium. RNAcentral's name for it is "partial 16S ribosomal RNA". It matches the Rfam family "Bacterial small subunit ribosomal RNA", at positions 523 to 796 of the family's 1533-position model. The record is from RNAcentral.